Molecule: ribosomal RNA, 375 nt
Filed under: Phycisphaerae bacterium
Lineage: Bacteria; Pseudomonadati; Planctomycetota; Phycisphaerae
Description: bacterial SSU rRNA
Rfam family: Bacterial small subunit ribosomal RNA
Source: RNAcentral
AAAGUGAAGAGUUUGAUCCUGGCUCAGAUUGAACGCUGGCGGCAUGGCUAAAACAUGCAAGUCGAACGCAUGGAGCAAUCCAUGAGUGGCGAAAGGGCGAGGAAUAGAUUCCUACAUACCCCAAAGUCAGGGAUACCCCGGAGAAAUCCGGAUCAAUACCUGAUGUGGUCGAGAGAUCAAAGAUUUAUCGCUUUGGGAGUGGGGAAUCUCCUAUCAGGUAGUUGGUGAGGUAAUGGCUCACCAAGCCGAAGACGGGUAGCGGGUGUGAGAGCACGGCCCGCCGCAUCGAGACUGAGACACUGCUCGGACUCCUACGGGAGGCUGCAGUAACGAAUCUUCCGCAAUGCGCGAAAGCGUGACGGGGCAAUGCCGCGU